Molecule: ribosomal RNA, 525 nt
Filed under: Salmonella enterica
Lineage: Bacteria; Pseudomonadati; Pseudomonadota; Gammaproteobacteria; Enterobacterales; Enterobacteriaceae
Also listed under: 2 other names
Description: partial 23S ribosomal RNA
Rfam family: Bacterial large subunit ribosomal RNA
Source: RNAcentral
CGCAGGGAAACCGAGUCUUAACCGGGCGUUAAGUUGCAGGGUAUAGACCCGAAACCCGGUGAUCUAGCCAUGGGCAGGUUGAAGGUUGGGUAACACUAACUGGAGGACCGAACCGACUAAUGUUGAAAAAUUAGCGGAUGACCUGUGGCUGGGGGUGAAAGGCCAAUCAAACCGGGAGAUAGCUGGUUCUCCCCGAAAGCUAUUUAGGUAGCGCCUCGUGAAUUCAUCUCCGGGGGUAGAGCACUGUUUCGGCUAGGGGGCCAUCCCGGCUUACCAACCCGAUGCAAACUGCGAAUACCGGAGAAUGUUAUCACGGGAGACACACGGCGGGUGCUAACGUCCGUCGUGAAGAGGGAAACAACCCAGACCGCCAGCUAAGGUCCCAAAGUCAUGGUUAAGUGGGAAACGAUGUGGGAAGGCCCAGACAGCCAGGAUGUUGGCUUAGAAGCAGCCAUCAUUUAAAGAAAGCGUAAUAGCUCACUGGUCGAGUCGGCCUGCGCGGAAGAUGUAACGGGGCUAAACCAU